GAGGGUGAAGCUCAGGGGUAGAGUGCAUGCUUAGCAUGCACGAGGGCCUGGAUUCGAUCCCCAGUAUCUCCA
Molecule: transfer RNA, 72 nt
Filed under: Camelus ferus (Wild Bactrian camel)
Lineage: Eukaryota; Metazoa; Chordata; Mammalia; Artiodactyla; Camelidae
Rfam family: tRNA
About the family: Transfer RNA (tRNA) molecules are approximately 80 nucleotides in length.
Source: Rfam by way of RNAcentral